This 727-nucleotide long non-coding RNA is filed under the name Monodelphis domestica (gray short-tailed opossum). RNAcentral's name for it is "lncRNA (ENSMODG00000039086.1)". Lineage: Eukaryota; Metazoa; Chordata; Mammalia; Didelphimorphia; Didelphidae. The record is from RNAcentral.
CCAGGGUUGUUGUUAGGUUCUAAUGAAAUCACAUGUGCAAAGAGCCUUUAGCAAACCUUAAAGAGCUUUGGAAAUAUUAAUUAUUAUUAUGACUGUGUCUGGGAAAGACAUAGGGCAAAUGAACCAGGGCUAUGUUUGUGCAGUGAAAGGGUGCUAACAUUUAUGAAAAGAUACCCAAAUGUAGCCUUUCAGAUUCUUUCUUUCUAUUGCCUCAGGUGUCUAGGCUUUGGGGUAGCUCAUUUCCUUAAUCUAAAUCCUGCUGCCCACACCAGAAACCCAGCUAGUUAACAUUGGUACCUGGUCCAGGACUCUUUCUCAGCCUGGGGAAGUCACUCGUUUGUCUCUCUAGGAUCUUCCUUCUUGGUGCCAUGGCUUUGUGGCAUGGCCCAAGUAACUUUCCUGCCCCAGGCAGCAAGAUUCUUGAGGAUGCUUUGGCUCCCUUCUAGUAGAUGGUCCAGAGAUCAGAAAAAGUGAAUCCUGGGCUUUGGUAGGUUUUCUCGGAAGACACUGGUAUCUUCCAGGAAUAGGUGGACAUUCAAUAAAAAUAUCUUCAUUACAAAGAAGACUGAAGCCUCCCUCUGUCUUUACACUUAGUUGGUGGCACAGCAGACAGAAUACUGUAUUCAAGAGUCAGGGAAGCUCAAAUUUGACCUCAGACAUACACAGUACUAGCCACAUCACUCCUGGAGAAGGUGAAGUCAAGGAUCCAGUCACAUUUCAAGCUGUU